CACAGGGAGGUAGUGACAGAAAAUAACAAUGCGGGGCUCUCUGAGCUUCGCAGUUGGAAUGAGUACAAUUUAAACGUCUUAACGAGUAACAAUUGGAGGGCAAGUCUGGUGCCAGCAGCCGCGGUAAUUCCAGCUCCAAUAGCGUAUAUUCAUGUUGUUGCAGUUAAAAAGCUCGUAGUUGAAUGUAAGGCGCGGCGGCGCGGUCCGCUUCGGCGCGACUGCGCCGCUAUAGCGCUAGAGUGCGGCGCGCAAGCCCGCGGGUUACUGUGAGGAAAUUAGGGUGUUCAUAGCAGGCGUGUGCUUGAAUACUGCAGCAUGGAAUAACGAGCAAGACUCUGGGUCUGCUUGUUGGUUUGGGGCCGAGUAAUGGUUAAUAGGAGCAGUUGGGGGCAUUAGUAUUCAGUUGUCAGAGGUGAAAUUCUUGGAUUAACUGAAGACUAACUAGUGCGAAAGCAUUUGCCAAGGAUGUUUCCAUUAAUCAAGAACGAAAGUUAGGGGAUCGAAGACGAUUAGAUACCGUCGUAGUCUUAACUGUAAACUAUGCCGACUAGGGAUCGGCGGCUGUCCGCGUGACACCGCCGGCACCUUGUGAGAAAUCAAAGUUUUUGGGUUCUGGGGAGAGUAUGGCCGCAAGACUGAAAUUUAAAGGAAUUGACGGAAGGGCACACCAAGAGUGGAUUCUGCGGCUUAAUUUGACUCAACACGGGAAAACUCACCAGGUCCGGACAUAAGAAGGAUUGACAGAUUGAAAGCUCUUUCUUGAUUUUAUGGGAGGUGGUGCAUGGCCGUUCGUAGUUGGUGGAGUGAUUUGUCUGGUUAAUUCCGAUGACGAACGAGACCUAAACCUGCUAAAUAGGGGCGGCACGCGAGUGCCGCGCGCCUUCUUAGAGGGACUGAAGGCGUUUAGCCUUUGGAAGUUUUAGGCAAUAACAGGUCUGUGAUGCCCUUAGAUGUUCUGGGCUGCACGCGUAAUACAAUGGCCCAGGCAGCGAGUAUACAACCUACGCCGGAAGGCGCGGGUAAUCUUGUGAAUCUGGGCCGUGCUGGGGAUAAACCAUUGCAAUUAUUGGUUUUCAACGAGGAAUUCUUAGUAAGCGCAAGUCAUCAACUUGCGUUGACUACGUCCCUGCCCUUUGUACACACCGCCCGUCGUUACUACCGAUU
RNAcentral lists this ribosomal RNA (1164 nucleotides) under uncultured Rozellomycota. Its description in RNAcentral is "SSU rRNA". It matches the Rfam family "Eukaryotic small subunit ribosomal RNA", at positions 455 to 1690 of the family's 1831-position model. The record is from RNAcentral. Lineage: Eukaryota; Fungi; Rozellomycota.